AUUGAACGCUGGCGGAAUGCUUUACACAUGCAAGUCGAACGGCAGCACGGACUUCGGUCUGGUGGCGAGUGGCGAACGGGUGAGUAAUGUAUCGGAACGUGCCCAGUCGUGGGGGAUAACGUAGUGAAACUUACGCUAAUACCGCAUACGAUCUAUGGAUGAACGCGGGGGAUCCCAAGACCUCGCGCGAUUGGAGCGGCCGAUAUCAGAUUAGGUAGUUGGUGGGGUAAAGGCCCACCAAGCCAACGAUCUGUAGCUGGUCUGAGAGGACGACCAGCCACACUGGAACUGAGACACGGUCCAGACUCCUACGGGAGGCAGCAGUGGGGAAUUUUGGACAAUGGGCGAAAGCCUGAUCCAGCCAUUCCGCGUGCAGGAUGAAGGCCCUCGGGUUGUAAACUGCUUUUGUACAGAACGAAAAGGUUUCUACUAAUACUAGGAGCUCAUGACGGUACUGUAAGAAUAAGCACCGGCUAACUACGUGCCAGCCGCCGCGGUAA
RNAcentral lists this ribosomal RNA (500 nucleotides) under uncultured bacterium. Its description in RNAcentral is "partial 16S ribosomal RNA". It matches the Rfam family "Bacterial small subunit ribosomal RNA", at positions 30 to 523 of the family's 1533-position model. The record is from RNAcentral.